CUCACAGUAGGAGGAGAUUUCACCUGCCAGGCUCAGAACACUGUGGGCUCCCAACGUCUCUCCUUGAGCCUGGCCAUGGAAGAUGAGAAGCAAAAGGACUCCUGGCCACUGGUCUUCACUCUGAUCAGGGGGUCUGUCAUGGGAACUGUCUUCCUCCUCAUCUAUGGCCUCACUUGGAUCUACUAUACCAGAUUAAAAUCACUGUCCACUUUGGUCCAAGAAACUUCUGCUUGCAGUGAGCAUUGGUGACCAUAGAGACUCCUAACUGGUCACAGUCUUGAGAAUGAGAGAGUGGGCAAUGCUCAGCCAUAAAUUGGAUCACCC
Molecule: long non-coding RNA, 324 nt
Organism: Jaculus jaculus (lesser Egyptian jerboa)
Lineage: Eukaryota; Metazoa; Chordata; Mammalia; Rodentia; Dipodidae
Exons: 3
Source: RefSeq, a predicted model, not a curated record